GAUGAACGCUGGCGGCGUGCCUAAUACAUGCAAGUCGAGCGAACAGACGAGGAGCUUGCUCCUCUGACGUUAGCGGCGGACGGGUGAGUAACACGUGGAUAACCUACCUAUAAGACUGGGAUAACUUCGGGAAACCGGAGCUAAUACCGGAUAAUAUAUUGAACCGCAUGGUUCAAAAGUGAAAGACGGUUUUGCUGUCCCUUAUAGAUGGAUCCGCUCUGCAUUAGCUAGUUGGUAAGGUAACGGCUUACCAAGGCAACGAUGCUUAGCCGACCUGGGAGGGUGAUCGCCCACACUGGAACUGAGACACGGUCCAGACUCCUACGGGAGGCAGCAGUAGGGAAUCUUCCGCAAUGGGCGAAAGCCUGACGGAGCAACGCCGCGUGAGUGAUGAAGGUCUUCGGAUCGUAAAACUCUGUUAUUAGGGAAGAACAAAUGUGUAAGUAACUAUGCACGUCUUGACGGUACCUAAUCAGAAAGCCACGGCUAACUACGUG
This 497-nucleotide ribosomal RNA is filed under the name uncultured bacterium. Its description in RNAcentral is "partial 16S ribosomal RNA". It matches the Rfam family "Bacterial small subunit ribosomal RNA", at positions 28 to 507 of the family's 1533-position model. The record is from RNAcentral.